Molecule: signal recognition particle RNA, 265 nt
Filed under: Verrucomicrobiota bacterium
Lineage: Bacteria; Pseudomonadati; Verrucomicrobiota
Description: Verrucomicrobia bacterium signal recognition particle sRNA large type
Rfam family: Bacterial large signal recognition particle RNA
About the family: The signal recognition particle (SRP) is a universally conserved ribonucleoprotein involved in the co-translational targeting of proteins to membranes.
Source: RNAcentral
CCGUGCUACCUGGGGAGAUAGCGGUGCCCUGUACCUGCAACCCGCUUCAGCAGGAGGGAACGCCUGGGCGCGGCGGCCCUCGCGGGCGAGGAAAGCGCAGAUGCGGCAUUGAAGGCCGGGUCCCAUGCGACGGAGUCCGGCCAACCCCGCCAGGACCGGAAGGUAGCAACGGUACGCCGGCUCCUCCGGGCGCCGUGGGGUGCCUGACCGGAGCCGCAGAAGCGCCGGAAUCGUUAGCGAAGGCCGUCCAACUUGGGAUGCACGG